This 1381-nucleotide ribosomal RNA is filed under the name Lactiplantibacillus plantarum. RNAcentral's name for it is "bacterial SSU rRNA". It matches the Rfam family "Bacterial small subunit ribosomal RNA", at positions 73 to 1430 of the family's 1533-position model. The record is from RNAcentral. Lineage: Bacteria; Bacillati; Bacillota; Bacilli; Lactobacillales; Lactobacillaceae.
UUGGUGCUUGCAUCAUGAUUUACAUUUGAGUGAGUGGCGAACUGGUGAGUAACACGUGGGAAACCUGCCCAGAAGCGGGGGAUAACACCUGGAAACAGAUGCUAAUACCGCAUAACAACUUGGACCGCAUGGUCCGAGUUUGAAAGAUGGCUUCGGCUAUCACUUUUGGAUGGUCCCGCGGCGUAUUAGCUAGAUGGUGGGGUAACGGCUCACCAUGGCAAUGAUACGUAGCCGACCUGAGAGGGUAAUCGGCCACAUUGGGACUGAGACACGGCCCAAACUCCUACGGGAGGCAGCAGUAGGGAAUCUUCCACAAUGGACGAAAGUCUGAUGGAGCAACGCCGCGUGAGUGAAGAAGGGUUUCGGCUCGUAAAACUCUGUUGUUAAAGAAGAACAUAUCUGAGAGUAACUGUUCAGGUAUUGACGGUAUUUAACCAGAAAGCCACGGCUAACUACGUGCCAGCAGCCGCGGUAAUACGUAGGUGGCAAGCGUUGUCCGGAUUUAUUGGGCGUAAAGCGAGCGCAGGCGGUUUUUUAAGUCUGAUGUGAAAGCCUUCGGCUCAACCGAAGAAGUGCAUCGGAAACUGGGAAACUUGAGUGCAGAAGAGGACAGUGGAACUCCAUGUGUAGCGGUGAAAUGCGUAGAUAUAUGGAAGAACACCAGUGGCGAAGGCGGCUGUCUGGUCUGUAACUGACGCUGAGGCUCGAAAGUAUGGGUAGCAAACAGGAUUAGAUACCCUGGUAGUCCAUACCGUAAACGAUGAAUGCUAAGUGUUGGAGGGUUUCCGCCCUUCAGUGCUGCAGCUAACGCAUUAAGCAUUCCGCCUGGGGAGUACGGCCGCAAGGCUGAAACUCAAAGGAAUUGACGGGGGCCCGCACAAGCGGUGGAGCAUGUGGUUUAAUUCGAAGCUACGCGAAGAACCUUACCAGGUCUUGACAUACUAUGCAAAUCUAAGAGAUUAGACGUUCCCUUCGGGGACAUGGAUACAGGUGGUGCAUGGUUGUCGUCAGCUCGUGUCGUGAGAUGUUGGGUUAAGUCCCGCAACGAGCGCAACCCUUAUUAUCAGUUGCCAGCAUUAAGUUGGGCACUCUGGUGAGACUGCCGGUGACAAACCGGAGGAAGGUGGGGAUGACGUCAAAUCAUCAUGCCCCUUAUGACCUGGGCUACACACGUGCUACAAUGGAUGGUACAACGAGUUGCGAACUCGCGAGAGUAAGCUAAUCUCUUAAAGCCAUUCUCAGUUCGGAUUGUAGGCUGCAACUCGCCUACAUGAAGUCGGAAUCGCUAGUAAUCGCGGAUCAGCAUGCCGCGGUGAAUACGUUCCCGGGCCUUGUACACACCGCCCGUCACACCAUGAGAGUUUGUAACACCCAAAGUCGG